Molecule: long non-coding RNA, 598 nt
Organism: Saccostrea echinata
Lineage: Eukaryota; Metazoa; Mollusca; Bivalvia; Ostreida; Ostreidae
Exons: 3
Source: RefSeq, a predicted model, not a curated record
UCCUCUAGAAACGGAUGUCGACAUGGUCUGGACUCCGGUGCAAGAAUGUGUUAUUUACAGCUUCACUUGUUGAAAAUGUAGCAAGAUGGUAUUAAUUAAUUGGAAUACAUUGUUGUGAUGAGCAGACAUCAAGAUUAGAAGGCUCACAUGCAUGUAGAGGACAAUCCACUCAAAUUUUCAGAAUAAAGUGUUCUUCUGGAUGGUCUGGGCAGCCCAAAGACUAGUCUAAACCAAAGAUUACCAGGUAGUUUGCCCAGUAGUGAUCACUUGAUGAGCCAGACACAAAUUGAAGUGUUAGUGAUAUAAUGGAAAGAAAAAUACUCACUUUCUAAUCCAUUCGUAGAUGUUGUUUCUCUCCUCGGCUUCAUGUUUAUUACGUCCAAUACGAGUCAUGACUUCUUUUGUACCAAUUGACAUUCAAACCAUGGAUACCAGCAGCACUAAGCAUUUCUUCUUCAGUCUCAUGAAUAUCUAUAAGAUAAUCUUAAUAAAUAUAGGAUAGACAAUUCAUUUACCUCUUGGAAUAUUUUUCAAAUUAACUUAAAAUGCUGAAAACAGUUCAAACAAAAUUACAAUUAACAUAGUUAUGUUGAGUGGU